AAGGUUCUUGAACGCUCUAAAACCACCUCCCAACAUUACAAACGGGUGACGAAACCCUAAACAGAUCGAGCGAAGAAGAGAACGCAGGAGAAAAUGUCGCACUUCGGGAGAACUGGCCCGCCGGACAUCGCUGAUACUUACUCUCUCCUCGUGCUCAACAUCACUUUCCGUACCUCGGCGGAUGAUCUCUUUCCUCUUUUCGACAAGUAUGGGAAGGUUGUGGAUAUCUUCAUUCCCCGGGACAGAAGGACCGGUGAGUCACGUGGAUUUGCGUUUGUUCGUUACAAGUAUGCAGAGGAAGCACAAAAGGCUGUAGAUAGGCUUGAUGGAAGAGUGGUUGAUGGACGGGAAAUGGCUGUUCAAUUCGCCAAAUAUGGGCCAAAUGCAGAACGAAUUCACCAAGGGAGGAUCAUUGAGAAAGUUCCUGGCUUCAAGGGAAGCUCAAGAAGCAGAAGCCCUCGUAGAAGAUACCGUGAUGACUAUCACAGAGAUAGAGAAUACAGGAGAAGUAGGAGCAGAAGUGUUGAUCGCUAUGAGCGUGAUAGAUAUCGGCAGAGAGAGCGGGUCUAUCGCCAUCGGUCCAGGAGCCGCAGCUUAAGUCCAGACUAUGAUCGAGAUCGUGGCAGGGGACGGGACAGAAAACAUCAUAGGCGGAGCCCAUCAGUUGACAGUGCCUCCCCAUCUCGGCGUAGCCCCAGUCCUCACAGGAAAGAGUCUCCUCCUAGAAGCUUAUCACCCACAAAAGGAAGUCCUGUGAGGCGUGUUCGCAAUGAACGCUCUCCAACUCCUCGAAGUCGUUCGCCUCCAGGUCGAGCAAUGGAUUCACGAAGCCCUUCUCCUCGUGUUGAUGAGGAUUAGUUUUCUGGUGGCAUAAUACGAGAACAAGCAGACAAGUGCAUCAACAACUUUAGCUUUCUACUGAAUGUGUUGAAACACAAAAUGUGGUGCAAUUUCUAGGCAGAAUAUUAGCUGACAUUUUGUUAUGAUCGAGAGAAGGUUGGUGAGGUUGAUAUCAGAUGAUGAUGAUGGUGAUAUGGCUGUCAACCCUCAUAACUAUAGUUAGUUCGUGAAAUUUGAGGAGGCUGAUUGGUAGAUUGUGUGUUGAUUGACAGUGCUGAUGGUUUAGCUGUUGACAUGCAGCUUCUGAUGCUGUUUGUAGUUAAAUGUAUUUGCAAUGCAUGAACAGCAGAUGCUGGCUGGAGAUUUUCUCUGUGCACCCGUGUAUAAUUUAUUGGGUAAGACUUUUCUCCGGUCGAGAGCUCACAAGUCUCACCAUGUUUUCAUCCAUAGAAAAGGAGCUGAUCACAUUCUUAUAUUAAGUAUAAAAUAAGCUUCAUCCAAGGAUUAGUUUUCCCAAAGAAUGUAACUUCUCUUUCUAGCUAGUUCUUUUCCUUUUUUUUUGGGGUAGUCUUUUUGCCAAGUUUGGUGCAUAUAAAUUGUCUCUAAAAAGGGAUCGGACGCAACUGGAGAUGUAGGAUGGACAGAGGAUGAAUCUACCUCUGUGCCUGAUGCUGCUAGUGAGGUGUCCCAUUAGCAAAGCUGAUGCUAGUUGUUGCACAUGCUGGCAUGUGGUCUAUUUUGCCCCCAACGUGCAUGACUGAUGAGAAAUAUCAUACCCUAGUUGUGAUGCUUUUGUUGACAUUUUCUUGCUCGUUGAUCGUGAUUGUAGCUGAAUGAAAGGCUGGUUCAUUGUCCGUUCAAACAUCCUUUUAGCUUCUGGGUGCCUCUGAUCUUCCAGAACUUCACUUGAUCUUAUGUUAUACUUUAUGUGGCUGAUGGUCUCCUUGGUGAUUCAGCUUCAGUGCGUUUUAUUUUUGGUGUUUGUGGUGUUCAAUGUUGCUCUACCAGGUCAAGGUUAUUGCAGCUUCUAUCUUUAAACCGUAAAAACCAACGACUUUGUUGGUUGAAGAAUCCCUCAACUAUACCCUUUGGUCUAAUAGGCUGUGGGGGUCUCUGGAAUAGUUGAAUAUAGAUGAGGUUGGUACUACCUAUGUGUUUUGUGCAUCUCAAUGUUUGUUUUAUUAGUAACAAUAUACACAAUAGGCAGUGACUGGGCAUUGCUGAAGGUUAAAGCUGUGGUUGACUUUUACAACUUCUUUGUAGUGCUGUAAAAUAUUGGUCAAAAGAGUGGAUUUUGUCUGCGGAUUCUAUCCAGCAUCAUCUCGUUCUACUGUUGCCGCUUGAGUUGUGGUUAGUAGUGUUUACCAUUGUGCAGUUUGACCAUGUAUAGCUAUGCUUCCAAUUCCUGCAGUUGCACGUUUAUUUGUACACACCUCGUUUUGUUCUAUAGUUUUGGGUUUGAUUAGACAUCUGAUAUAUCUUAUGUAGUCUGUAAUGUCAGUUGGUCGUAUGGUGCUCAUAUUGGGCAAGGUAUGAGUCCCUGAUUUUUGGAGAAAACCAUCUCAACUAGGAAAAUAGUAUGUUGAUUAUGGAUCUCUGGCUGUCUCUCUGCUGUUAAUUUAUUUCAAUCUACUUUAUUCGACCUUCCGA
Solanum pennellii is the source of this 2490-nucleotide RNA transcript. It is a transcript of the gene named serine/arginine-rich splicing factor SC35, with no coding region annotated. The record is from RefSeq and is a predicted model, not a curated record. The transcript has 9 exons. NCBI's taxonomy places the organism in Eukaryota, Viridiplantae, Streptophyta, Magnoliopsida, Solanales, Solanaceae.